RNAcentral lists this ribosomal RNA (253 nucleotides) under uncultured bacterium. RNAcentral describes it as "partial 16S ribosomal RNA". It matches the Rfam family "Bacterial small subunit ribosomal RNA", at positions 524 to 776 of the family's 1533-position model. The record is from RNAcentral.
UACGGAGGGUGCGAGCGUUGUUCGGAAUCACUGGGCGUAAAGGGCGUGUAGGCGGUCCGCUAAGUCUGAUGUGAAAGCCCGGGGCUCACCCCCGGAAGGGCAUUGGAAACUGGCGGACUCGAGUCCCGGAGAGGAAGGUGGAAUUCCUGGUGUAGCGGUGAAAUGCGUAGAUAUCUGGAGGAACACCGGUGGCGAAGGCGGCAUCCUGGACCGAGAUUGACGCUGAGGCGCGAAAGCCAGGGGAGCAAACGGG